This is a long non-coding RNA of Mercenaria mercenaria, 2057 nucleotides long. RefSeq lists it as uncharacterized. The record is from RefSeq and is a predicted model, not a curated record. The transcript is spliced from 3 exons. NCBI's taxonomy places the organism in Eukaryota, Metazoa, Mollusca, Bivalvia, Venerida, Veneridae.
AUCCAUGUUGUUUGCUUUCGAAGUCUGUUGCAAUUACAAAAACCUUUAGCGAACAGCAUGGAUCCUGACCAGACUGUGCGGAUGCGCAGGCUGGUCUGGAUCCAUGCUGGUCGCAAAGGCACUAUGUUGGUUUUCUAAUGGCGCGGCUCAUUUUGUCUUUCAUAUGUAAUGCCUAGUUUUUCCUUAAUACACAAACAAUUUGCUACCUGUGUUGGAACCAUACGCAUGUUAAUAUGGGAAAGAAUCGCAUUCCAGUCGUGCUAAGUUAGAAAAAGACGAAUAAUAACUGUUGUUUUUUUGUUGUUGUUAUUUUUCGUGCUGACAGGUAAAUAGAAUCAGUUAAGCAGUAUGUACAACAACUCUAAUUUUGUAGGUAAUCAUUUAGUACAUCACAAGCUAUGUUCAGCUCUAGCUCUUGACCAGCAUAACGUUAUACACAAAAUCCAUUCAAUAGACUGGUAGAUCAAUGUCUUCAAAACCCGAAAGACCGGCUGGAGAAAAGUCAGUGGUUCCACUCAGGUACCUGCACGUGUCUGAAAACAAAAUGCACCGGUGCGCUCAUUACUUCUACUGGUAAUAAGCAGCUGUAAAGUCGCUUUUUUACUAAAAUUGGUUAGGUUUUACGGAAAAUCCAACAAAAAAACAACAACAACAAUAUAUAUUAAUAAACAGAAUUUUGCGACUCAGUGAACCGUCACCUUAAAUGUGCGUCUCAACCUUCUACACAUAUGGAAUUGAGAUUUUGCUCACCUUUUGUUAAUUAAUCAACGGGCCAUUCAUGCACAUAUAGCUUGCGGCUAUGUUCAUUCACAAUUUGGUUCAUUUAGCGCGGGGGUUUCUCUGGUCUACAUGUAUAUGUCAAUACUUGACAAAUAGAAAAAAGGUUUGCACAGUUUUUUUUAUCUUUGUUUAUUUGUUCAUUAAGGUUUCUUUUCAUUUCAUUUAUUGUUCGUGUUGUCAAUUUCUUACCUUUUUUUCUCUCUUUCUAUUAUAUAUGUAUUUUUCUUUCUGUUUUGAUGACUUUUCUCAAGUUUUCACAAUUUUUAGAAGUAAAAAAUAGAACACUUAUAGAAAUCGGAUCGACUAGCCAGCGACGCUGAAUAAAAAGGCAGAAUUACAGAAUCUCAGUUGCAGGUCAAAGAGAAGAUCGAUGUAUGGUGGAUGAUACUGGCAAAAAUAUUGAUGCAUCCAAUGGGAUUUGUCUCAGUCAGUCGUCACUCCGAGGACCGCAGCUCUCCUAUGGUUACUUCUACUGGUACAGCUGACAGACAAUAGAACAUCAGUUUCUUAAGUUAUGUUGAAAGACAUGAUGAUUGUGCAUAAUGAUGAUGGUGGUGAUGAUGAUAGCGAUGAAGAAGAUGAUGAUAGCGAUGAUAACGGUGAUGAUAGCGAUAGUGAUGACGAUGAUGAUGACGACGACGGCCAAUGGCUUGUCCUGGCUCACGUUUGACCAUUAAACACAGAUCGAUGAUGCUUUCCAGUAAACAAGAACGUCUAAAAAAGUCAUGUGGAAAGACAAGAUCAUUGAGAAUAAUGAUGAUGAUAAUGGUGAUGAUGGUGAUGAUGAUAGCGAUUAUGAUGGUGAAGGUAGCGAUGAUUAUGAAACUGAUGAUGGCCCAUUGCUUGUCCUGGCUCACUUUUACCCAUUUAGCACAGAUCUACGAUGUUAACGUCUAAAAGGUAAACUUUGUUUUUUCAUAAAAGAGCAAAAUUAGUGACAUCUUCAAAAAUACAUUUUAUAUUUUCCAUCGUGACUCACCUGAAUGCUUAAAUGGAGGUAAUUGUGAUCGCUUUCUUCCCUUUAUAAGGUUUGUCCCGCGGAUAUAUCAAAGUAGCAAAAUUUCACUCUGUUAGGACAUUAGAUGCCGCACACGUGCAGCAAUCAUAAACAUACCUUAAAACAUAUAUACGCCUGUUCCAAGUACUCAGAUAUAUUAGAUAUUUACAGAAUUAUACAGAAAAUAGAGAGCGAAAGAGUCAAAAUUAAAAUAUUUAACCGUUCGUGUACAGUAUAUGUUCCUCUACCUUAACAUUCAUCAUAGAACUUGUACAUUAUG